GUGCCCUUGAGGCGUGGCUUCCGGAGCUAACGCGUUAAAUCGACCGCCUGGGGAGUACGGCCGCAAGGUUAAAACUCAAAUGAAUUGACGGGGGCCCGCACAAGCGGUGGAGCAUGUGGUUUAAUUCUGCAACGCGAAGAACCUUACCUGGUCUUGACAUCCACAGAACUUUCCAGAGAUGCAUUGGUGCCUUCGGGAACUGUGAGACAGGUGCUGCAUGGCUGUCGUCAGCUCGUGUUGUGAAAUGUUGGGUAGUCCCGCAACGAGCGCAACCCUUAUCCUUUGUUGCCAGCGGUUAGGCCGGGAACUCAAAGGAGACUGCCAGUGAUAAACUGGAGGAAGGUGGGGAUGACGUCAAGUCAUCAUGGCCCUUACGACCGGCUACACACGUGCUACAAUGGCGCAUACAAAGAGAAGCGACCUCGCGAGAGCAAGCGGACCUCAUAAAGUGCGUCGUAGUCCGGAUUGGAGUCUGCAACUCGACUCCAUGAAGUCGGAAUCGCUAUAACGUAGAUCAGAAUGCUACGGUGAAUACGUUCCCGGGCCUUGUACACACCGCCCGUCACACCAUGGGAGUGGGUUGCAAAAGAAGUAGGUAGCUUAACCUUCGGGAGGGCGCUUACCACUUUGUAUUCUGACUGGGGUGAAGUCGUAA
Molecule: ribosomal RNA, 655 nt
Filed under: Enterobacter cloacae
Lineage: Bacteria; Pseudomonadati; Pseudomonadota; Gammaproteobacteria; Enterobacterales; Enterobacteriaceae
Description: bacterial SSU rRNA
Rfam family: Bacterial small subunit ribosomal RNA
Source: RNAcentral